RNAcentral lists this long non-coding RNA (1736 nucleotides) under Sus scrofa (pig). RNAcentral describes it as "lncRNA (ENSSSCG00065018831.1)". Lineage: Eukaryota; Metazoa; Chordata; Mammalia; Artiodactyla; Suidae. The record is from RNAcentral.
UGUUCAGAGUUUUAAAAUACUCUGUUAAAUAUGUUUUAAAAAUCACACUCAUCAGGCCAAUUUACCACUUUUAGAGUGAAAGAUGGCAGAUUGUUGGAUCUUUGCUAUAUCAUGUGCCCACUCACCCACUCUGCUUUGUUUAAACCGCAGUUUGAAGAACAGUUUCAUCAUUUGUGACUUUUUUUCUUAGCUUUGGAAGUUAAAGUAUAAAAAUGCUGCACUGAGUUCCUGUUGUGGCGCAGCAGAAAUGAAUCUGACUAGGAUCCGUGAGGAGGGGAUUCCAUCCCUGCCCUUGCUCAGUGGGUCGGGGAUCCUGCGUUGCCAUGAGCUGAACUGUGGUGUAGGUCGCUGAGGUGGCUUGGAUCCUGGAUCCUGCGUUUCUGUGGCUGUGAUGCAGGCCAGCAGCUACGGCUCCUAUUUGACCCCCAGCCUGGGAACUUACAUAAGCCGCAGGUGCGUCCCUAAAAAGAUUAAAAAAAAAAAAUCUCAAUUUAUAUUUUUUCAGUUAAAUUGCUCACUUAAAACAAUGCCUGUUGUCAGAUCUGUGUUAUGUCUGGGGAAAUCGAGGCCAAAAAACACAAAGAUGUACUGUAGUUUAUUCACGGGGCAGUGUCAUUGUCAUCUCGUGAUAUCAUAGUAUGAGAAUGUUUUUCUGUGUUCGGACUCUGAUGGCUGACAAAAGCAGUCACAGAUGAGAUAAUUUAGAGACUCAGCUUUGUCAUCUGUAAAAUGGGGAUGAUAAUACCCAUUCUGACAUUUCCACAUGGUUUUUAUGAGGAUGGUAUGGAAUAUUUAUGUGAGCUAGCACUGUAAGUUAUCAAGCCUCAUAUGGCAGCUAUCUGGGGUGUAAUCAUCAUACAUUAAGAUAGCUAAGUGCCUUGACUUCAGUCUUUUCUUGCUCCCACACUCCUGUUUAGCACAGGCUCUUUAAGGAAUGUGUGUGUGUGUGAGACUUAGCCAGUCAUUCAUUUGAAUUGUUGUUAAACAUAAACAUCCUAGAUUGGCCAGACCAUAAUUUUAUCAGCACAGUGAGAGAUAUUAUUCUUUAAUUUGUUAAAAAAAAAUUACCUCCUGUAAAUCCUUACUUGAGCUGAACCUGCGGAAGUCAUUGUUCACAUUCAUAGUAUUCCAACUAUAGAUGAAAUUUAUUUUUAGUUAAUUUCUUUAGCUGUCCGUUCAACUAUGGGCUGUUCAGCUUUUUUUAUCUCAGUGGGAGAAAAAUAUGCAGCUUUUUAGAUGCAGUCUUAUCAGUGACCUAGAGAGGGACUAUUGUCUCUCUAGUAUGAUGUGAGCCUGGAAAUGCAACUCCAGAUCCUGCCUUGGAUAUAGUUCCUGGCAUGUCACACUGUUCAUUCACUUGAUCCCUCAGAACUUUAAAGCUCAUCUAAGUGGUGCCACUUUCCCAGUGUCUCCUUUUUUGAUGUCUCUGUAUGUGAAUUAAAUUUCUCUUAUACUUAUUAUCUACUGGGAAGAUAUAUCAGAGACAGCUUUUUACGGUCUGCCUCUUGGUUUCCUAGUUUUGAUUGGCCAGAAUCACUGAGUUCCUCAAUUCAUUAAAACUCCAAGUUCGAAACUAGAAUUAAUAAGUGGUCUCCAUAUAUCUGACUGUUGAUUUUCCUAGAUUGCAAGAUGUCGUUUUGUGUCUGGCCAACCCAGACGGGAAGAAGCAGGUCUGGCUGCUAUUUGAGCUUUGGCAUGUGUGCUGCUGACAGCUCUUCUCUUUGUAUUCAUAAAUG